GAUGAACGCUAGCUACAGGCUUAACACAUGCAAGUCGGAGGGCAGCAUUGGAGUAGCAAUACUUCAGAUGGCGACCGGCGCACGGGGUGAGUAACACGUAUCCAACCUGCCGCUUACUCGGGGAUAGCCUUUCGAAAGAAAGAUUAAUACCCGAUGGUAUAAAGAGUUCGCAUGUUCUCUUUAUUAAAGAAUUUCGGUAAGCGAUGGGGAUGCGUUCCAUUAGAUUGUUGGCGGGGUAACGGCCCACCAAGUCUACGAUGGAUAGGGGUUCUGAGAGGAAGGUCCCCCACAUUGGAACUGAGACACGGUCCAAACUCCUACGGGAGGCAGCAGUGAGGAAUAUUGGUCAAUGGACGCGAGUCUGAACCAGCCAAGUAGCGUGAAGGAUGACUGCCCUAUGGGUUGUAAACUUCUUUUAUAAGGGAAUAAAGUGAGGGACGUGUCCCUUUUUGUAUGUACCUUAUGAAUAAGGAUCGGCUAACUCCGUGCCAGCAGCCGCGGUUAAAACGUAGCGUG
Molecule: ribosomal RNA, 516 nt
Filed under: uncultured bacterium
Lineage: Bacteria
Description: bacterial SSU rRNA
Rfam family: Bacterial small subunit ribosomal RNA
Source: RNAcentral